GGACGAACGCUGGCGGCGUGCCUAAUACAUGCAAGUCGAACGGUCUUUCUAUGGAAGCUUGCUUCCACUGAGAAGAUAGUGGCGAACGGGUGAGUAACACGUGGGUAACCUGCCCAUAAGAGGGGGGAUAACAUCCGGAAACGGGUGCUAAUACCGCAUAGUUUUCUUGAUUGCAUGAUUGAGAAAGGAAAGACGGCCUUUGUGCUGUCGCUUAUGGAUGGACCCGCGGCGUAUUAGUUAGUUGGUGAGGUAACGGCUCACCAAGACGAUGAUACGUAGCCGACCUGAGAGGGUGAUCGGCCACAUUGGGACUGAGACACGGCCCAAACUCCUACGGGAGGCAGCAGUAGGGAAUCUUCCGCAAUGGACGAAAGUCUGACGGAGCAACGCCGCGUGAGUGAAAGAAGGUUUUCGGAUCGUAAAACUCUGUUGUCAGAGAAGAACAAGUUGGAGAGUAACUGCUCCAGCCUUGACGGUAUCUGACCAGAAAGCCACGGCUAACUACGUGCCAGCCGCCGC
This 519-nucleotide ribosomal RNA is filed under the name uncultured bacterium. RNAcentral's name for it is "bacterial SSU rRNA". It matches the Rfam family "Bacterial small subunit ribosomal RNA", at positions 27 to 518 of the family's 1533-position model. The record is from RNAcentral.